AGCUAAGGUAGUAAGAGAUGCUCUUGAAACCUAAGGGUUUUGGCGGUCUUUUUUCUUAUUAGAGGAAUUUGCUCUGUAAUUGAUAAUCCUCGUUAAAUUUUACUUGAUUGAUGUUUGUAUACCGCUGUUGAUGAUAUUUUUUAAAUGAGAUAUUGGGUAAAUAUGGUUCUAAAUGUCAAGUCAAGGUGCAGCUAGUAUUUGAGAUUGAAGUGAAUUACAAUUAGGUAUAAUGGAUUACUGAGUGUAAGUUGAUUAUGAGAUUGGAUUUAAUAGUAAUUUUGUAUUAAUAUGAUAUUAUGAAUAUGGUUUAAAAAGAUGU
This 319-nucleotide ribosomal RNA is filed under the name Pseudocellus gertschi. Its description in RNAcentral is "partial small subunit ribosomal RNA". The record is from RNAcentral. Lineage: Eukaryota; Metazoa; Arthropoda; Arachnida; Ricinulei; Ricinoididae.